RNAcentral lists this unclassified non-coding RNA (200 nucleotides) under Hypocreales sp. RNAcentral describes it as "partial internal transcribed spacer 2". The record is from RNAcentral. Lineage: Eukaryota; Fungi; Ascomycota; Sordariomycetes; Hypocreales.
UUAAGUUCAGCGGGUAUUCCUACCUGAUCCGAGGUCAACCUUGUGCCGCCUACGCGGGCUUGUGAGGGGUUUAGAGGCUGGUGCCCGAGGGCUCCCGAUGCGAGGCGAAUGCUACUACGCAAAGGAAGGGCCGCUACGGGUCCGCCACUGGUUUUCAGGGCCUACUAUAGGGCGUAGAUCCCCAACACCGGGCCACUAGG